AUAGAUCUACUAGUAUAUUUUCGUUGUUAAUCUCUAAGAAAGUGAUUUUUCCAUGAUUUCAACUUUAACCUUGAAUAACU
Long non-coding RNA from Diprion similis, 80 nucleotides. RefSeq lists it as uncharacterized. NCBI's taxonomy places the organism in Eukaryota, Metazoa, Arthropoda, Insecta, Hymenoptera, Diprionidae. The transcript has 3 exons. The record is from RefSeq and is a predicted model, not a curated record.